Molecule: ribosomal RNA, 1437 nt
Filed under: uncultured bacterium
Lineage: Bacteria
Description: bacterial SSU rRNA
Rfam family: Bacterial small subunit ribosomal RNA
Source: RNAcentral
AGAGUUUGAUCCUGGCUCAGAACGUACGCUGGCGGCACGCCUAACACAUGCAAGUCGAACGAAGUAGCAAUACUUAGUGGCAGACGGGUGAGUAACAUGUAGGUAUCUACCCUUUGGCCUGGAACAACACGAGGAAACUUGUGCUAAUACCGGAUAAGUCUUUACGGAGAAAGCUUUAUGCACCAUUGGAUGAGCCUGCACUUGAUUAGUUUGUUGGUGGGGUAAUGGCCUACCAAGACUGUGAUCAAUAGCUGAUUUGAGAGGAUGAUCAGCCACAUUGGGACUGAGACACGGCCCAAACUCCUACGGGAGGCAGCAGUGGGGAAUCUUGCACAAUGGAGGAAACUCUGAUGCAGCGAUGCCGCGUGAGUGAAGAAGGCCCUUGGGUUGUAAAGCUCUUUCGUCGGGGAAGAAAAUGACUGUACCCGAAUAAGAAGGUCCGGCUAACUUCGUGCCAGCAGCCGCGGUAAUACGAAGGGACCUAGCGUAGUUCGGAAUUACUGGGCUUAAAGAGUUCGUAGGUGGUUGAAAAAGUUAGUGGUGAAAUCCCAGAGCUUAACUCUGGAACUGCCAUUAAAACUUUUCAGCUAGAGUAUGAUAGAGGAAAGCAGAAUUUCUAGUGUAGAGGUGAAAUUCGUAGAUAUUAGAAAGAAUACCAAUUGCGAAGGCAGCUUUCUGGAUCAUUACUGACACUGAGGAACGAAAGCAUGGGUAAGCGAAGAGGAUUAGAUACCCUCGUAGUCCAUGCCGUAAACGAUGUGUGUUAGACGUUGGAAAUUUAUUUUCAGUGUCGCAGCGAAAGCGAUAAACACACCGCCUGGGGAGUACGACCGCAAGGUUAAAACUCAAAUGAAUUGACGGGGACCCGCACAAGUAGUGGAGCAUGUGGUUUAAUUCGAAGAUACGCGCAGAACCUUACCAACACUUGACAUGUUCGUCGCGACUCUAAGAGAUUAGAGUUUUCGGUUCGGCCGGACGAAACACAGGUGCUGCAUGGCUGUCGUCAGCUCGUGUCGUGAGAUGUUGGGUUAAGUCCCGCAACGAGCGCAACCCUCACUUUUAGUUGCCAUCAUUAAGUUGGGCACUCUGAAAGAACUGCCAGUGAUAAGCUGGAGGAAGGUGGGGAUGACGUCAAGUCCUCAUGGCCCUUACGUGUUGGGCUACACACGUGCUACAAUGGUAUCUACAACAGGAAGCAAGACUGCGAGGUCAAGCAAAUCCUUAAAAGAUACCUCAGUUCGGAUUGCACUCUGCAACUCGAGUGCAUGAAGCUGGAAUUACUAGUAAUCGUGGAUCAGCGUGCCACGGUGAAUGCGUUCCCGGGUCUUGUACACACCGCCCGUCACACCAUGGGAGUUGGUUCUACCUUAAGGCAAGGUUUAAAACCCUUGACCACGGUAUAGUCAGCGACUGGGGUGAAGUCGUAACAAGGUAACC